Molecule: ribosomal RNA, 258 nt
Filed under: uncultured Actinomycetales bacterium
Lineage: Bacteria; Bacillati; Actinomycetota; Actinomycetes; Actinomycetales
Description: partial 16S ribosomal RNA
Rfam family: Bacterial small subunit ribosomal RNA
Source: RNAcentral
ACCCCUUUGGGGGUACUCGAGUGGCGAACGGGUGAGUAACACGUGAGUAACCUGCCCUUGACCUCGGGAUAACUUCAGGAAACUGGGGCUAAUACCGGAUAGGAAUCCUUGCUGCAUGGUGGGGGUUGGAAAGCUUCGGCGGUUUUGGAUGGACUCGCGGCUUAUCAGCUUGUUGGUGGGGUAGUGGCUUACCAAGGCUUUGACGGGUAGCCGGCCUGAGAGGGCGACCGGCCACAUUGGGACUGAGAUACGGCCCAG